CUCGUAGGCGGCCAACUAAGUCAGACGUGAAAUCCCUCGGCUUAACCGGGGAACUGCGUCUGAUACUGGAUGGCUUGAGUUCGGGAGAGGGAUGCGGAAUUCCAGGUGUAGCGGUGAAAUGCGUAGAUAUCUGGAGGAACACCGGUGGCGAAGGCGGCAUCCUGGACCGACACUGACGCUGAGGAGCGAAAGCCAGGGGAGCAAACGGGAUUAGAUACCCCGGUAGUCCUGGCCCUAAACGAUGAAUGCUUGGUGUGGCGGGUAUCGAUCCCUGCCGUGCCGAAGCUAACGCAUUAAGCAUUCCGCCUGGGGAGUACGGUCGCAAGGCUGAA
This 332-nucleotide ribosomal RNA is filed under the name uncultured bacterium. RNAcentral describes it as "bacterial SSU rRNA". It matches the Rfam family "Bacterial small subunit ribosomal RNA", at positions 568 to 898 of the family's 1533-position model. The record is from RNAcentral.